RNAcentral lists this long non-coding RNA (1179 nucleotides) under Pongo abelii (Sumatran orangutan). Its description in RNAcentral is "lincRNA". Lineage: Eukaryota; Metazoa; Chordata; Mammalia; Primates; Hominidae. The record is from RNAcentral.
GAGUACCCAGGGACACAAUACACUGCGGAAGGCCACAGGGACCUCUGCCCAGGAAAGCCAGAUGAUGCAUAUCAUAAAUUAUUACUCAUCCCAUGUUUCCACCCUCGAGAGACCUCCAAACAAUCACCAUGCCACAGUGAACAUUCAGUAACAAAGAUUCAGCCAGGGUUUUCACCAGCCUGAAUGGCAGUGAUUCCAAUAAGGAAAAUAGAGAGAGGAGAGUUCAGAGCCACCUAGAAUGGCUCUUGCAAGACACGAAAUCUAGGCAGCAGCAACAGGGCUGAACAUUCCUCCUCCCUAACUCUCCGUUCACCAGUGAGAAACCCAGGAUAACUGCAAUCACCGCAGGCCAUCUGGCCUGAAGUUCUACCACUAGUAGCCCUCCAUGGGACCUUCUUAAGGAAGCAUGUCAACUCAGGUAAGGAAUGUAAGGGGAUGGAUGACCCUUUGAGACCAAAGUUGGAGCAAAAAACACUGGAUGUUCCUGUGCACUGCUCCUAAGAGAUGGUUCUGAAUACCAGUUCGGGGAGAGGUCAAAAUACUGGACAGAAUCUCAGCAACAUGGAACCUCAAAGUAAGUGACAGUCACAGACAACCCUUCCCCAAAGAAAAUAAGCACAGACAUGGUUUGUGGUAAGCAGAAUUGUACAGAUGAAUUCCCAUCUCCCUGUCAGAUGACCAAUAUGGUAAAUUACCAGAUUACCUGGUUAUUUAUUCAAACGCUAAUACAGUUAUUGCCUUGAUGGAACCAUACAGAUACAAUUAAAAUCCCAAGUACCAAAUAAAUUGACGCUAAGACAAAGACUAAGUAAAUCACAUGAGCCCUCUACAAGCAGAGAGUUUUUCUCCAGCUGGUAGCAGAAGCCAGGAAUUUGAAGCAUAAGAAGUAUUCAACACAUUAUUGCUGGCCUGAAAAUGGAAGGGGCACAUAACGAGGGAAACUGGUGCCUCUAGAAGCAGGGAACAGUCCCCUGCUGACAGACAGCAAGCCAAGACCUCAGUUCUACAAUUGCAAGAUACUCAAUUCUGCUAAGGACAAAAAUGAGCUUGGAAGUGAACUCUGAGCUUCAGGUGAGAACAUGGCCAAACAACACCUUGAUUUCAGCUUAAACAAAGAAUGCAGCCACUCCAUGCCAGAAUUCUGACCUGUAGAAAUUUGAGCUAAUAAAUAGAUGUUUU